Dalotia coriaria is the source of this 797-nucleotide long non-coding RNA. RefSeq lists it as uncharacterized. The transcript has 2 exons. Lineage: Eukaryota; Metazoa; Arthropoda; Insecta; Coleoptera; Staphylinidae. The record is from RefSeq and is a predicted model, not a curated record.
UGCGAGAGAAGAGUGCAAGUAGUGGUAUACAGAAGUGGAAAGGAAACGGAGUAUAAACGUGUGCGCGAUGUGCGCGUUGUUCGAAUUUACUCGAACGCGCACAUUCCUGAGGUUAUUUCAGUUUACUUCGUAUCAAAUAUAAUCUGUUUCCUCUUGUUGAACCCUUUGCAAAACAACAUAUAUCACACAACAGGAUUUAUUUUCUCCUUUUAAUGGUCUCGCUGGUCUGGUCCAUCGACCUCGCGAUCAUCAUUUCAACCGCACUAGACCCAACAAACGCACCAGACGCAUCAGACUUCUCACACCCCCGAACGAUGAACUUGAACGAAAGGAGACUAGCGAACUAUGACACAGGGUCAGCUUUUCGAGGACACUGACAUCCAGUGUCUGGGAGACAUCGUAAAGCCUUUCUGUUUUUAUUUUCUUACCAAGACUAAAGCAUCGUUUAAAAUUAUUCUACUAUAUGUAAUAAUUUUAAAUUUUACUACGCAUUAAUUUAAUUUGAGUUUUGUUUUCUUCUUCUAACAUUUACAUCCAAUUGUAUGUUUAUAUUCGCGUUUUGGUGGAGUAGUUUCAAUGACGGCGUGGAUAGGAUAACCAGUACCUAUGUGACAAGUUUCAGUACAAUACAUUCCCGGUGGGCAAAUAUUUUGCCAAGGAGAUAUAUGUGAAAUCGAAGGAAAUGUUGCAACAGUUGAUAAAUUACUAUACGCUUCCAUCUCUGACUUCGUACUUGGUUGAUAAUUUUCACUGUAUUCACUUUUAAAAGCUCUGGAAAAUAUAUUACUUUACAUUUA